RNAcentral lists this ribosomal RNA (253 nucleotides) under uncultured bacterium. Its description in RNAcentral is "partial 16S ribosomal RNA". It matches the Rfam family "Bacterial small subunit ribosomal RNA", at positions 524 to 776 of the family's 1533-position model. The record is from RNAcentral.
UACGUAGGGUGCAAGCGUUGUCCGGAAUUAUUGGGCGUAAAGAGCUCGUAGGCGGUUUGUUGCGUCGGCUGUGAAAUCCCGAGGCUCGACCUCGGGUCUGCAGUCGAUACGAGCAAACUAGAGUGUUGCAGGGGAGACUGGAAUUCCUGGAGUAGCGGUGAAAUGCGCAGAUAUCAGGAGGAACACCGGUGGCGAAGGCGGGUCUCUGGGCAACAACUGACGCUGAGGAGCGAAAGCGUGGGGAGCGAACAGG